UUAAAACGUAAAAUUUAUACUAGAGUAGUAAUAGUUAUGAACUUGAAACUUAAAAAAUUUGGCGGUAUUUUAGUCUAUUCAGAGGAACCUGUUCUAUAAUCGAUAAUCCACGAUGGACCUCACUUAAAUUUGUUAUCAGUUUAUAUACCGUCGUUAUCAGGGGAUUUUAGAAGAAUUCCAAUUCCCAAAAAUUUUUAAUAAAAUUUAUAUCAGAUCAAGGUGUAGCUUAUAUUUAAGAAGAAAUGGGUUACAAUAAAUUUAUUUAUAUGGAUUUCUUUUUGAAAUAAAAGAAUGAAAGUGGAUUUGACAGUAAAAUUUUAAAGAUAAAAAAUUUGAUUAUAGCUCUAAAAUAUGCAC
RNAcentral lists this ribosomal RNA (357 nucleotides) under Myopa buccata. RNAcentral's name for it is "partial 12S ribosomal RNA". Lineage: Eukaryota; Metazoa; Arthropoda; Insecta; Diptera; Conopidae. The record is from RNAcentral.